AAGGAUUUAAGUUAAUUAAACUAAUAACCUUCAAAGUUAUAAAUAAAGAGUACUUUCUUUAAGCCUUA
RNAcentral lists this transfer RNA (68 nucleotides) under Indosialis bannaensis. RNAcentral describes it as "tRNA-Trp". Lineage: Eukaryota; Metazoa; Arthropoda; Insecta; Megaloptera; Sialidae. The record is from RNAcentral.